Molecule: long non-coding RNA, 288 nt
Organism: Gossypium arboreum
Lineage: Eukaryota; Viridiplantae; Streptophyta; Magnoliopsida; Malvales; Malvaceae
Exons: 2
Source: RefSeq, a predicted model, not a curated record
AUUUCUUCUCCAAAAUUUCGUCCAAACAGCCAUGGGAGGGAGAGUUUAAGUUGGUUUUGAAUAAUUUUUCUUCAUAUUUUCAGAAGAUUGGACAAUCGGAUCAACACUCAAGUCACACUAUCCAACUUAUUUCAGUAGUUUUUGAAACGUUCAAUACAAUUUAUAUGGCAUGUUUAGGCUUUUGUAUGGAUUGGAUUAAAGUUUGGCUUGUGUAAAUGUUAUGAAUUAUAUUUUGUUUAUAUAACCAACUUUUAUAUAUAUAUAUAUAUUUGGUUUGAGGAUGAAGAA